GACACGCUGGCGGCGUGCUUAACACAUGCAAGUCGAACGGGGCGAAGUGAUAGCUUGCUAUUAUGGAGCCUAGUGGCAAACGGGUGAGUAACGCGUAGGCAACCUGCCCUUCAGAUGGGGACAACACCUCGAGAGGGGUGCUAAUACCGAAUGACGUUUCCUGGUCGCAUGACCUGGAAACCAAAGGCCGGGCAACCGGUCACUGAAGGAUGGGCCUGCGUCUGAUUAGCUAGUUGGUGGGGUAACGGCCCACCAAGGCGACGAUCAGUAGGGGUUCUGAGAGGAAGGUCCCCCACAUUGGAACUGAGACACGGUCCAAACUCCUACGGGAGGCAGCAGUGGGGAAUAUUGGGCAAUGGGCGAAAGCCUGACCCAGCAACGCCGCGUGAAGGAAGAAGGUCUUCGGAUUGUAAACUUCUGUCUUAUGGGAAGAACACAGACGGUACCAUAGGAGGAAGCCACGGCUAACUACGUG
This 475-nucleotide ribosomal RNA is filed under the name uncultured bacterium. RNAcentral describes it as "bacterial SSU rRNA". It matches the Rfam family "Bacterial small subunit ribosomal RNA", at positions 33 to 507 of the family's 1533-position model. The record is from RNAcentral.